CGCCAGACUCCUACGGGAGGCAGCAGUGGGGAAUAUUGCACAAUGGGGGAAACCCUGAUGCAGCGACGCCGCGUGGGCGAGGAAGUACCUCGGUAUGUAAAGCCCUAUCAGCAGGGAAGAAACAGGACAGUACCUGACUAAGAAGCCCCGGCUAACUCCGUGCCAGCAGCCGCGGUAAUACGGAGGAUGCGAGCGUUAUCCGGAUUUAUUGGGUUUAAAGGGUGCGCAGGCGGAGGUGCAAGUCAGCGGUCAAAUUGCGGGGCUCAACCCCGUACUGCCGUUGAAACUGCAUCCCUUGAGUGCGCGAGAAGUAUGCGGAAUGCGUGGUGUAGCGGUGAAAUGCAUAGAUAUCACGCAGAACUCCGAUUGCGAAGGCAGCAUACCGGCGCGCAACUGACGCUCAUGCACGAAAGCGUGGGUAUCGAACAGGAUUAGAUACCCUAGUA
RNAcentral lists this ribosomal RNA (446 nucleotides) under uncultured bacterium. RNAcentral describes it as "bacterial SSU rRNA". It matches the Rfam family "Bacterial small subunit ribosomal RNA", at positions 329 to 792 of the family's 1533-position model. The record is from RNAcentral.